GUCUGAAUAAAGGAGUUCCCCAGUUUUCCUACUGAAGUGAAACGGCCCUCUUGCUUGCUCACCUGAGGAGAUAGCACUGAAUACUCCCCGCAGGCUCUGUGAAGUCCGUGGCUUCAUGGAAACCUCUGCACUACUACACGAUUAGGAGGGAAUACAAGUAAUGAGAGAACAGAACAGGCAUUGCCGAUCUGCAGAGAGAAAUGUUUAGGUAUGAUGCGUCCUGGAUCAGGACCCAAAUGCAUGGCAUGAGUUUUUUUGAGGCUCUGCUAGCAAGCCUGGGAACGACUGUGAYGCUUUCUGUGCCAUUCAGGAUGACAGAAGAUUUAUGCCUGGGGCGUCUGCACAGACAGCCGCUCAGAGGGCUGGAGAUCCAAGCGUAAAGUCACACUUUUGAGGGAUGCUGUGUGCCUUUCCCGUGGAUGCCCACCGGUGUCCUGACACCACAGACCAAAGCAGCUCUUACUUCCCAGUCUGGUGCCCUCCCAGGGYGCAGGCAGAGCCAUGGCUGUGGUGCUGCGGGCUGUUGCUCGGCGGUGGCAAGCUGACACAAAGCAGCAAGUCUUCAUCCUGCCAUACAGAUGUGCACAGAUGUGCUAGACCUUAGCCGUGACCCGGUUGCUCAGCCCUGGUCCACGGGUGGCUGUCGCUGGAGGGUGCCUCCUCCGCUCCGCUCCCAGCAGCCCUGCAACGCGUCGGCGCGUGGCCCCUCGCCCAGCGCCGCGGCYGGGAGCGCGCCGGGCCGCCACUGCCCUUCCCCCGGCCGCCGUCGGCAGCUUGGGGGGCUUUUUUGGUGUCACCCGCUUGCCACCUCAGCCUGGUGCCACCAGCUCCUCCCGCCUGAACACGGCCAAGCAGGAGCAACCAUCGCCCCCUAAGAGCUGGAUUGCCGGUGGAGGGCCCAGAGCCGAAGCCUUCAGCGGGGUGAGGACGACCGCGUGGGUCCCACGGAGCCGGGGGAGCUGCCUCCGUGCAACGGGGCCCUGUCCUCCGCGGUGCCUCCCUGCCCGGCACGUUCAGCCCACGGUUCCCGGGAUGCCGCGGGCUGGGACUGGCGCGUCCCGCGCAGGGAYGGAGAGCGGCUCUGUGCCGAGGGCUGGCGACCGCGGAGACGCUGCCCGAGACGCUGCUGGUCCCGAGCAGYUGAAGCGAAAGAGCUUUCCGAGCUAUGCUGCCUGCGCGAGGCGUGUGCUGGCGCCCCGCUCCCGGCCUGUCGAUGGGCUAAGGGCGGCUCACCUUCAUCACCCCCCCCCCCCCCAUAAAUGUGUGCGCUUGGUUAAUCGUUCCUGUGCUCUGUAAUGGCGCUUGGUCAACUCCACGGCCCUUUGGCUGCGCUUCCCGCGGAGCCGGUCUGCACUGUCGUAGGGCUGGGAUCUGUUCUUUAAUUAAGUCCGAUGAAGCACAGGGUAUGUGAGAUGUAAAUACACCUCUUCUGUGCGAGUGGGAGAGGGUUAAAUCUGCUGGCACUACGUGAACGUAGAUUUAUGUGCGAUGCCCUUUAAUACCGAUUUUGGGGAGGGAACAAACUGGGAAUGACAUACGGGGGGGGAGGAUUGCAAAUUGAUUACUUGGCUGUUUGAACAGAGACAAUAAAUCUUGAAAUGGUCACA
This 1607-nucleotide long non-coding RNA is filed under the name Dromaius novaehollandiae (emu). RNAcentral describes it as "lncRNA (ENSDNVG00000011230.1)". Lineage: Eukaryota; Metazoa; Chordata; Aves; Casuariiformes; Dromaiidae. The record is from RNAcentral.